This 6946-nucleotide long non-coding RNA is filed under the name Triticum aestivum (bread wheat). RNAcentral describes it as "long non-coding RNA (TAES_LNC003213)". The record is from RNAcentral. Lineage: Eukaryota; Viridiplantae; Streptophyta; Magnoliopsida; Poales; Poaceae.
AUAUACAGAGAGUCCAUUUGAAACAAAAUCUACGUUUUACUUUGUUUAUAAUUGUGGGCAAACACAUAUGGUAACAAAUCUAAUCCCCUUUAGCAGCAAAAAAUAGUGGAUUGUUAUGUACAAUGAGAUGUAUAUACACAUAAUUUGGUAGCACAAAGUCCCAAUGAAAAUCAUGGCCCGUUGAAAAUCUUUCCAUUUUUCAGCAACUCCGUGCUUUAGAAACUACACCCAACAAGAAUUUAGAUCUUUAGUCACAUUGGAAACCAUAUAACCUUAGUUAUGUUGUUUGCAGAGACAUAAAUGUUCCAGGCAACAAGGGACUUUUAAUAGAAUCAUCAUCAGCUCUCAAAACCUGGGAGAUGACAACAAACACAAUUGUCAAUGCUUCAUUGCUAAGUUUAGUUUACAGAACAAGCGUACAAAAUCAAGCAAUAGGCUGCCUCUUCUGACACACAUAAAGCAGAUAAAUAAUCUACAAACCAUGCCCUUGCUUAGGCUGGAGCUUCAUUCGUAGAAGAGAUGCCUAUAGAACAAAAACAGGGUCGUCGGCCUUGAUGCUCUUUCUAGGUGGAAUGUGCCAUCAUGGAGAAACUUCUAAAAAAACAAUAGAGAACGGAUGGCCCAAGAGUUCAGAUAGUUUCCUAAAAAAUAGAGCAUAAUAAAUAAUAAAGAACCAUAUGUUCACUUGUUCAGGAUGUUUUCGGUCAUACAGACCACAUUUCUGGUUGCUUUCCCACUAUACCUUAACAAGUUCUCUGAUCACAGCUACACGACCAUGUGUCAUAAAAAUACCGGUUUUGUAGAGAACUUGUCGCCAAAUGGUGUAUCAUUAUCAAGAAAAUUUGGAUGAAGGACUGCCAAUUCAGCACAUGUGUUUAAUCUUAUCGAAGUGUUUGAACCACCCAAAGCAUCUCAUACUAAUUCCUUGUCUUCAAAUAUCAUUAUGGAUGGAGAAGAAAAAAACAAUUGAUUAACCUAAUACGUGGUGCACUUGCUACUGAAUAUUAAAAUGAGUACACAUCAAUUAAGCUAAAGAAUUUGCAAAGAAAGCCUACCACACGGGACAAAUUCUUCAAUGAACUGAAAUUGCUCUUUACAAUGGUGAUUCAACUAAUACCACUAUUUUCUACGUACAAUAAGUUGUUAAUUAUUUUAUUUUAAAACAUAGAGGAUUUUUUGAUCUAUUGGUGCAUAUGCUUUAUGUCUUUCAGAUUCCACCAAGAUUAUGUUAGGACUGGAGUUACAGGUAAGCUGUAGUCUGUAGUCUAUAAUAGGUCUGUAAGAGGCACAACGAUGAAACAUUAUUUUUCAAGGGAAGUUGUUCAAUGAAAGGAAUAAACUAUUUGAACCUAGCUACAGACCCAUAUCAAUCUCUAUAGGCGGGAUUUGGGAUGAAGAUUGAGAGAGUUGAGGAGAGGGAGAAACAUACCUAGUACAAAUUCCAUUGCAUCCUUCUUUCAUUUCCCUCGUCACCGAUAAGCAUCCUAUUGACAUUAGGUGCGAAGUUACCUGUUGAAUAUCCAUGAGGAAUAGCAGCAACAAGAAAACCCUAAAAUUGUAUUUAAAUAGCUCAGCUAACUAACCAUGGUGUAGCAAAAAUAAAAUGGCCAUAUCUAAGCAAGAAGUUUCGGCCAAAAACUAAUGCAGCAUUGCAGCAUGGUACGCGAAAAUGCAUCAUAAGAAUAAUUAGUUAGUUCCUAAUAAAUGGACACUUUCCACUUUUCCCAACCUGAUUAUAUUUUUUCGCAUUUGACUAUACUGUUCUAAGUAACCUAACACAGAGAGCAACAAAAAGUACCAUGGCAUGAAUGAUACACAAACUAACAAACCUAGAAUAAGCAAUCAAUUGGCCUAAGCAUAUGUAUUAAAGUAGGAAGGGAUGGGAAAUGGCAGCCCAUGUGAACUAAUUACCUGGUUGGAAGCCAUUGCAGAAUGUCAGGUGAAGAAUUACCAUGGCCAAUAUACAAGAAACAGAUUUCAAGAGUUCCCCAAAUCAAUUCACCAGAACCAAGAUGGACACUACAUGUACAAAGUUGAGAUUUGAAAGACACUAACACAAUAAAAUCAUUGUGUUGAAGGAGGAUUUUAGGUGGAAAAAAUGCAGGAAAACAUUGUGCUAAUCUCUGCAAUAUCUUCUUAUUAUUAAAUUUAUCACACUUCAUUAGAACAUUAGUUUGUAUCAAGACAAAUAGAUGUCGAGUCUGUACUGCAGCAAAAACAUAAGUGCUCACAAAUUACAGAGCAAAUAAUAGUAGUACCAAAUAUGCUAACAUGUUGACUUCAUGUAGUACCACACUAUUAAUACCUGAAAAUGGCACACAUGUUUUUAGAGGAACAUAAUCUACACAAUGAGCAAAAGUAACUUUUUUAUGCUGGUAUAUGCUAGGCUGCAACAUAAAUUUAAGAAGCUGAUAUGCUGCAGUAUACUGUACUUGAUAAUCUGAAUAGUCCAGCAUAACUAGUCUACACUACUAUUAAACAAUCAAACAAGAACUUUCUUAGGUGCACCCCGCAAUUAGUCCCACAACAUCAUAUAAACCAAUCAACACCACACGAUUAGGCCCACAAUUCUCAAUCUAACAGCCAUAAUUAAUCUAACCUUUUUAUGGUGUGCACUUAGCAUUUUUUGUUGACUGACCGUGCUUCACCAGGGGAAUAGUACUAAAACAACCGGUCCCUACAAUCACGGAAGUCCGAUAGCAAACCAAGGAAAUUCCACGCCCUAAACCUUGACCUCACCGUCUGUCACGGCGGCAACCUCGUGCCAGACGCCGCCCACCAACAACGUCUCCUCCAUGCAUGACGACCUCGCCGCACUGCACCGCUCCGUCGCCUCUGCGCAUGAUCGCCAUCGCCGAUUGUUGCCCCUCACAGCGUGGCAUCGGUCCUGUCAUAUCCAGGAGAUAGAGCCUGCACUGGCACCCGUUCGGCCGCGCCCACGUCUGCACUGCCCCGGCGCCUGCGCCGCCGCAUCCCCUGAGCCAGCCGCGGCCGUGCUUGCGCCGCCGCCAGCCGAGGCGAGACCGCCCGCCCCUCCUACCCAUGCGACGUUGCUGCUCCCUCCUGCCCCAAGAGCGCACAUCUCCAAGCGGCCUUUGCCGGAGGGACGACGCACCAGGCGCAUCGGGCCGGGGCAUCCCGGCAUCGCCUCCGUCCUUCGCUUCGCCUCAUCGAUGCUGGUACAGGUUAUCUCCUCCGACUGCAUACCCAACAUGCUGGCCAUCUCCUACCUCCAACCGUGCUCCCCAUCGUCUCCCUUCUUGAUCCCAUCUGACCCUGAAAACUUUUGCAGGCCUUGAUCUCACUCCGCCCCGUAGCUUCAAAGAUCUUGACAGAAAAAGGAUAUGGUGGCGUUGUGCCGACUGUCUGCUCUUCUCUUUCCUAGCGUAAGGGACCUCAAGAUCUGGCACCGGGAGCUUUCUUCGUCCGCAUUCGUACUUUAUGUAUGGGAAAGCUAUCUUCCGGGUAGCAGCAGUUGGACUUCAUUUGUGAUUAAGGAUGAUAGCUACUGAAGUGAGUAAAUUAUCCUUUCAAAGUUGAUUUUUAUGCCUACUGUUUCUGUAUAUUCAGUGUAACGACAAACAAACAUGCUGACUGCUAAAGUUCUUGCAGGUGUGAUUGCUUUGAUUAGAGAAGGCACUGAUAUAACACGAGAGAUUAUUUCUGUAACACUUGAUCUUGGGUCUGCACUUGCUAACAGAGAUGCAGACAAAACAAAGCCACGAGCCUUUGUACUGAAUGUACACAUACUCUGCAGAUCAACACCCAUCUUUUAAGAGGUCUGUACUAUCCAGUGCAGUUUAUUUACAUGUCUUGGAUUCUGAAUGUAUAGUUCAGUUUCAUGAUUUAACCUUUCAAGUUAUUGGUGUCCGCACAUGAUUUUAACAUAUCCAAUUUUCUUUCAAGUUAUUGGGAUGUUGCUUUGACAGUUGUCAUGUACUGCUUAUUAUUUUUUUGCACUAUAGUCUCACAAUUCUGAAUUUAAUCUUUUUAGUUGACUAGCAUCAUAUUUCUUGAUUGUGACCUCAUGCUUAAAUAGUUAAAUUUGGUAGGUUGUAGAAAUUCGAAUUCACUAUCUCUCAGAAUUAGUAUAUAUUCUGUGGGGGUCACUGAAUUCUUUUUCUUUUCCUGGAAUUUGCGGCUUACAUUGCUAAUAUUUGAUCCUCGGUAGCAAUGCUCUUUUCCUUCCAUGUCGGUCAUGCCAAAAAAGCAUUGAGAUGAGUAUUUGAUCCUCCAUUAAUCAUCUAUGUCCUUACUGAAACUGAAUGCCGUUUUUUCUGGCUCAAGGGCGAGUCUGCACCAAUUCGCCAUGCUCAUNNNNNNNNNNNNNNNNNNNNNNNNNNNNNNNNNNNNNNNNNNNNNNNNNNNNNNNNNNNNNNNNNNNNNNNNNNNNNNNNNNNNNNNNNNNNNNNNNNNNNNNNNNNNNNNNNNNNNNNNNNNNNNNNNNNNNNNNNNNNNNNNNNNNNNCGAUGGCCAAACAUAUCUUGCAGGUUAAUUCACUUUUGAAUUUUUUACGGGCUUUAAGACUAACUUAUCCUUAUUCAAUUGCACAAUUUUCAAACCAUAUUAAAAUGUUAGUUAACAGGUUCAUUGUGCAUUAUUUGGAAUCAUGGUAUCAUUUUAGGAUAGAUUUAUGUUCUGUCAUACUAUAUGUAGCCAAUUGGUAUGAUUCUUUUUAAGUCGAAAGUAAUGGUGUGUAGCUAGAAGAAAAUACAUACGUUAUGUUCUAAAUAUUUGAUUCCCUUUUUAGAAUCAAGUACAUGUCAUUUGGAGAGCAUACCUUGUUUAUAUAUUUUAUUUGUAUAGAACUAGAUCUUUGGAUAUCUGACUACACUUGAUACAGACUUGAUCCUGGUGCGACUUUUUGCCCAGGAUAAUAAACCUAUGUUGUUCUUGUGCGGUUGCAGGGGAAUCAUGUACCGGUAUAAUAAAUUAUCCCAAAUGAUAUUUCACUGACAAGCGCCAUAUAAAUUGAAGUCAAAUUAGGCAUCUACUAUGUUGCAGAGGUUAAUCUUAUCUCAGUGUUCCCUGGAUAUUUCUUUUCUUGUGGCCUCUAUUGCAGUGUGCACCGCUGCAAGAAUGAAAUUAAUUUAUUCUAAAUAAAUGCUAUAAUAAGUAUUUCAGAACAUUUUUUCUGCUGUUAGGUUUAAUAUUCUAUUCCAUUUCCAAUGGAUAAAAAUGUUUGAGGCUACUUCCAUAUUUAUCCCUUGUUUCUUAUGGUCUAAUGUGUUAGACAAUUUUUCUUUUAGAUUUACCUCUCCUGUUUGUGCAGUAGGUACAAGGUCUCACCUUGUUGAAGGCUACUUCCGAUUCUUCUAUUUUAAUUUUGAUUUUGUUAAUGUACAUUUUCUACCUAAUAAGGACUUGAGGUGACUUGUGGAUUGUAGCGCAUGGGGAGCCUCACGAUUGUUGUGGUUACUUUUUACACAAACUCAUUGUAGCACAAGUUGUAUGUAUAGCUUGUGAUACAUGGUGAUGCAUCUUUUCAAGGUUAAUUGUGCGUCCCAUUUAUUGAUGCUUUGACGGGUGUCUAAUUUAGUGGUUUACAUUGAAGGUGCAUAACAUUAAAUAAGAUAUGAUUAGGCUUAAGAUAUAAGAAGAAUAAUGAUUAUAUAUUGAACUUAAAUACACAUGGUUUGUCGCUUUUAUAAAGAAUGGAGUUAUGAGACUAGGUGAAAUAUGCCCCGCGGGACAAAAUUGACUACGCAUUUUGUGUAUUCAGGGUUUAGAAGUCCAUUGUGUGUGCAUGUUUGAUACGAGAUAUGUUGCUCAUAUGAGAAGAACUAUAUCUCCAAAGCUAUAUUUAGUUUAAAUUAAGAUUUGAGCUACAUUAUUGCACUCAUUCAUUUUAUUGGCAUAAUUAUGGCCUAACUAGGGUGACUGAGAAUUUUUUUUCUAUGAUUAUACGUGCGUUGCACGUGCAUACUUACUAGUUGUUUAAGAAGCUGAUAUGCUGCAGCAUACUGUACUUGAUAAUUUGAAUAGUCCAACAUAAUUAUUUGUUUGCUUUCAGUCACUUAAUCUGCAGCAGAAGGGAAGAAAAAUACAGGACAAGAGCAGAAGGUACUGGAAGGACAUGGGACACACAUAGACUAUGGGGACAAACCGAAAUUGCUAAUUGCGAUACUUAUUUCCUGAACAGACAUUCACAUUCAUUGGUGUGGCAGUUAGUCAUAACUAAAAUGCACGGACAUAGCAAAUAUUAGUGUUCCGCGGUAAUAGACACUUGCAGCCCCAUGCUGUAAUUGUAACUGAGCACAGAUAUAACAAAAUAUUAUAGAUUAGAUAUUUAUUUAGGAAUCAAUGAAGAACAAGCAAGUUAACUUCUUCCCAUGCCUUAUGCUCUGGAAGCAAACUAGGGAUGCGUUGCUCCCAGUAGGGUUCAGCAAAGAAGUUUACAACUAAUCCCAGCAGGAUAGAUCCAUACAAAAUACAUGACUCGCUGAGAUAUGAGAACAAGCCAAACUUACCAGCGCACCCUUUCCAACCGCGAAGGCGAGUCGAUACGCCUCCCUGGUUGGCAUCCGCGCCCCUCCUCCUUCUCCGGCCGGCGACACACAGUUGAGUUCCUCCUUCUGCGGCUUCCUCGCAAUGAGGGCUCGCCUCCUCCUGAGGCUUCCUCAUGAACUGGGUGGAUAAGGAAUCAGCAAAUGGUGGAUCUCGCCGAAAGAAGCGGCAUAGGUUUUGGGGCUGCGGGGGGAGGAAGGACCAGAGGUGGGUGGUGGCGCGGCGGCUGUAUUGACGAUGGAGGCGACCCGAUCUGCCUCCCUGGCUGGCAUCCGCACCUCUCCUCCUUCUCUGGCCGGCGACGCCCGGUUGAGCUCCUCCUGUGGCUUCCUCACGACGAGCACUCACCUCCUGGCUGCGGGGUGGGGGGAGGACUGUAGGAGGGUGGUGGCGCGUGGCUGUAUUGAUGAGGAAUGGAGGAGCGGGGAGGAGAGAGGGG